RNAcentral lists this long non-coding RNA (587 nucleotides) under Physcomitrium patens. Its description in RNAcentral is "long non-coding RNA (PPAT_LNC014316)". Lineage: Eukaryota; Viridiplantae; Streptophyta; Bryopsida; Funariales; Funariaceae. The record is from RNAcentral.
AUUUGAUUUAGGAUUUAGAUUUUGAUUUAGGAUUUGAUUAGGAUUUGAUUUAACAUUUUUUUAGGAUUUGAUUUAGGAUUUAGGAUUUUAUUAGGAAUUGAUUUAGGAUUUAGAGUUUCGUUAGGGUUUCAUUUAGGAUUUAGGAUUUGAUUUAGGAUUUGAAUAGGAUUUGAUUUAGGAUUUGAUUAGGAUUUGAUUUAGGAUUUAGAGUUUGGUAAGGAUUUUAUUUAGGGUUUAAGGUUUGAUUUAGGGUUUGUUUAGGAUUUGGAUAGAGUUUAGUUUAGGAUUUAAUUAGGGUUUGGUUUAGGAUUUAGGAUUUGAUUUAGGAUUUAGUGUUUGAUUUAGAGUUUAAGAUUUUAUUAGGAUUUGGGUUUAGAGUUUAAGUUUUAAUUAAUUUUGGCCUAAAGUUGGAAUGAAGUCCAAUAAGAUUUUAACUAGGAUUAAAUUAAAAUUGAAUUGAAAUAUAUUUGAGAGAUAUUUGUAAUCAUUCUAAUAUUUCUUUAAGAUUUCUUAUUGUUUCUUUGAAAUUUCUUUGAGAUUUCUCUGAAUUUGAUUAAAGCUUGUUUAGCAUUGUUAGUAUUCUAUUA